UCGUGCUAGAUGGGGAGAUAGCGGUGCCCUGUAACCCGCAAACCGCUACAGCGGGGUUGAAUUCCCGAACGAGGCCUUAGAUUCUCCUUAGUUGAACUUCAGGACAGGAUGUUGAAAGCCAGGACCCGCGCAACGGAACGUUUCUGGACCCCGUCAGGAUCGGAAGAUAGCAGCGGCAGGAAAUAGUCGCCGUGUGCCGCGGGGCAUCUUGGCUGGAGUUCUGUCCUCCAGGGAUCUUCGGGGAGUCGGGUCAAGAACGGGUGCACGG
Molecule: signal recognition particle RNA, 268 nt
Filed under: Candidatus Latescibacter sp.
Lineage: Bacteria; Pseudomonadati; Candidatus Latescibacterota; Candidatus Latescibacteria (ex Chuvochina et al. 2023); Candidatus Latescibacterales; Candidatus Latescibacteraceae
Description: signal recognition particle sRNA large type
Rfam family: Bacterial large signal recognition particle RNA
About the family: The signal recognition particle (SRP) is a universally conserved ribonucleoprotein involved in the co-translational targeting of proteins to membranes.
Source: RNAcentral